UUGAGUGCAGAAGAGGACAGUGGAACUCCAUGUGUAGCGGUGGAAUGCGUAGAUAUAUGGAAGAACACCAGUGGCGAAGGCGGCUGUCUAGUCUGUAACUGACGCUGAGGCUCGAAAGCAUGGGUAGCGAACAGGAUUAGAUAUCCUGGUAGUCCAUGCCGUAAACGAUGAGUGCUAAGUGUUGGAGGGUUUCCCCCUUCAGUGCUGCAGCUAACGCAUUAAGCACUCCGCCUGGGGAGUACGACCGCAAGGUUGAAACUCAAAGGAAUUGACGGGGGCCCGCACAAGCGGUGGAGCAUGUGGUUUAAUUCGAAGCUACGCGAAGAACCUUACCAGGUCUUGACAUCUUCUGCCAAUCUUAGAGAUAAGACGUUCCCUUCGGGGACAGAAUGACAGGUGGUGCAUGGUUGUCGUCAGCUCGUGUCGUGAGAUGUUGGGUUAAGUCCCGCAACGAGCGCAACCCUUAUUAUCAGUUGCCAGCAUUCAGUUGGGCACUCUGGUGAGACUGCCGGUGACAAACCGGAGGAAGGUGGGGAUGACGUCAAAUCAUCAUGCCCCUUAUGACCUGGGCUACACACGUGCUACAAUGGACGGUACAACGAGUCGCGAAGUCGUGAGGCUAAGCUAAUCUCUUAAAGCCGUUCUCAGUUCGGAUUGUAGGCUGCAACUCGCCUACAUGAAGUUGGAAUCGCUAGUAAUCGCGGAUCAGCAUGCCGCGGUGAAUACGUUCCCGGGCCUUGUACACACCGCCCGUCACACCAUGAGAGUUUGUAACACCCAAAGCCGGUGAGAUAACCUUCGGGAGUCAGCCGUCUAAGGUGGGACAGAGAUUAGGGGAAGUCGUAACAAGGUAACCA
This 857-nucleotide ribosomal RNA is filed under the name uncultured Lactobacillus sp. RNAcentral's name for it is "bacterial SSU rRNA". It matches the Rfam family "Bacterial small subunit ribosomal RNA", at positions 642 to 1502 of the family's 1533-position model. Lineage: Bacteria; Bacillati; Bacillota; Bacilli; Lactobacillales; Lactobacillaceae. The record is from RNAcentral.